GACGAACGCUGGCGGCGUGCUUAACACAUGCAAGUCGAACGGAAAGGCCCUGCUUUUGUGGGGUGCUCGAGUGGCGAACGGGUGAGUAACACGUGAGUAACCUGCCCUUGACUUUGGGAUAAAUUCAGGAAACUGGGGCUAAUACAGGAUAGGAGCUCCGGCUGCAUGGUGGGGGUUGGAAAGUUUCGGCGGUUGGGGAUGGACUCGCGUCGUAUCCGCUUGUUGGUGGGGUAGUGGCUUGCCAAGGCUUUGCCGGGUAGCUGGCCUGAGAGGGUGGCCGGCCACAUUGGGACUGAGAUACGGCCCAGACUCCUACGGGAGGCAGCAGUGGGGAAUAUUGCACAAUGGGCGGAAGCCUGAUGCAGCAACGCCGCGUGCGCGAUGACGGCCUUUGGGUUGUAAACCGCUUUCGCCUGUGACGAAGCGUGAGUGACGGUAAUGGGUAAAGAAGCACCGGCUAACUACGUG
This 468-nucleotide ribosomal RNA is filed under the name uncultured bacterium. RNAcentral's name for it is "partial 16S ribosomal RNA". It matches the Rfam family "Bacterial small subunit ribosomal RNA", at positions 28 to 507 of the family's 1533-position model. The record is from RNAcentral.